UACAGAGGGGGCAAGCGUUAUUCGGAAUUAUUGGGCGUAAAGGGCGCGUAGGCGGCUUUGCAAGUGACGGGUGAAAGCCCUCGGCUUAACCGAGGAACUGCCUGUCAGACUGUAAGGCUUGAGACCGGGAGAGGUGAGUGGAAUUCCUGGUGUAGCGGUGGAAUGCGCAGAUAUCGGGAAGAACACCCGUGGCGAAGGCGGUUCUCUGGGACGGUACUGACGCUGAGACGCGAAAGCGUGGGGAGCGAACGGG
RNAcentral lists this ribosomal RNA (253 nucleotides) under uncultured bacterium. Its description in RNAcentral is "partial 16S ribosomal RNA". It matches the Rfam family "Bacterial small subunit ribosomal RNA", at positions 524 to 776 of the family's 1533-position model. The record is from RNAcentral.